AAAGUCGUAACAAGGUCUCCGUUGGUGAACCAGCGGAGGGAUCGUUACCGAGUUUUCAACUCCCAAACCCCUGUGAACAUACCAAUCGUUGCCUCGGCGGGAGAGCCCCGGGCGCUGGCGCAAGCCUCGCACCGGUACCAGGCGCCCGCCGGAGGACCCAGACAAACUCUUGAAUUCUAACGUAUCUUCUGAGUAACAAAAGUUAAAUAAAUUAAAACUUUCAACAACGGAUCUCUUGGUUCUG
This 244-nucleotide unclassified non-coding RNA is filed under the name Ascomycota sp. RNAcentral's name for it is "partial contains small subunit ribosomal RNA, internal transcribed spacer 1, and 5.8S ribosomal RNA". The stretch from base 1 to 47 matches the Rfam family "Eukaryotic small subunit ribosomal RNA", at positions 1785 to 1831 of the family's 1831-position model. The record is from RNAcentral. Lineage: Eukaryota; Fungi; Ascomycota.